This 1382-nucleotide long non-coding RNA is filed under the name Felis catus (domestic cat). RNAcentral's name for it is "lncRNA (ENSFCAG00000042725.2)". The record is from RNAcentral. Lineage: Eukaryota; Metazoa; Chordata; Mammalia; Carnivora; Felidae.
GCUGGGCUCUGCAGUGCAGCAAGGAGGGAGACAUAGAGUGACUGAAGUCCAAGGUCCAGUGGUGAAAUGAAAAGACCGUCAGCAGAUAUUUGACCCAAGAAGGAGGCAUCCGGAUGGAAGUACUGUGAGUCCUUAUGAGGGAACCCUGAAUACCGGGAUGGUACUUGAUUAUCACCGGCUACAGAUUCCCAACAGCCCUAGUUUUCCGGGUGUGAUCUUUGAUGCAAACCAGCAUCAUCAACCAGCUGUUUUGCUGAUCGAAUGGAGAGAGAGAGACCUCGUGAGCUGGUAUGACUCUGACAGCUUGACUUCUGGCAGCUGCUGGACCUCAGAGCAUAAUUUCCUCCCUCGUGGGUUAUCAGAAUCAAACACCCCUGGCUAAUCAGGAUUUCAAAGGAUGCAGAUAUCCAGUUUAAUUUAAGAGGAUUAUUCCAAAACAGCUCCGAGUAGGGCAUUUGGACUUUGAGCCCCCUAACCGUUCGCUCAAACAGGCAUCAGAGGCGGCUGGAAUCUUGAACUUUUUCCAGGAACGGGAAGAGAUUUCAAUAUAAAAGAGCAGUGGAUGUCUUCAGACAGUCUUAGCCCCAGCACUGGGAAAGGUACCUAAUCCCCCUGGGCUUUAACUUCCUCAUAUGUUUAAAAAAAGAGGAUUUGACCAGAUGACCUCUCCAAUCUCCUCUAGCCCUGAAAUUCUCUGACUGUAAUCUCUAAGGCCUCUUCUAGCUGUAAAAUUUGGGAACUGAAUAAUUCAAACCCCUCUCGGCCACAAGCAUCAAGAACGCUGAAGAGCUCCGUAUCUAUUCCCUCGCUGCCUCAGUUUGGUACUGAAAGAGGUGACAAAGGUCAUAUUUAUACAAAGGACUUCCCAUGUGCUACUCACUGAGUUUCAACUUUCUUCUGGAAAGUCUGUGGCCUACAGCCUCACCCCCCAUACUGUGAAGACAAAAUUGUUUACAAAAUCCCACGACUCGGAGAUCUAACGCUAGUUCUACAGACGGAAGCGUAUAUACUAAUAUCAUUCCUAAGAACAGUGUGCCUGGGAAAAAGGCUCUAGGGUCACAUAAAGUUCCAAAACACCGUCCUUGGUCCCCUCUCAUUGAUGGAUCACCUUACAGGAGAGCAUAUUGGAGCAUAACACGCCCUGCACUGGAGAAAACUUCUUGAACUUUGCUUGCCUCACCAUUUCCCAACAUUUGACCACCGAAGUCUAUUUAUUUUCCCUCUGAAACAUUUAUUAUCAUUUUCUAAACUAGACCUCCACAAAACCUACGUAGGAAAUGCUGCUCUAAGCAUCACCUCCCACUUGGUAGAUGCAGGGCGUUCCUUCAACCGGCAAAUUCUUCAGCCCCACCCCCUGACUUACUGAAUCAGCAUCUUUGGAG